Molecule: ribosomal RNA, 253 nt
Filed under: uncultured bacterium
Lineage: Bacteria
Description: partial 16S ribosomal RNA
Rfam family: Bacterial small subunit ribosomal RNA
Source: RNAcentral
UACGUAGGGGGCAAGCGUUGUCCGGAAUUAUUGGGCGUAAAGAGCGUGUAGGCGGUCCGGUAAGUCAGCUGUGAAAGUCAAGGGCUCAACCCUUGAAUGCCGGUUGAUACUGGCGGGCUAGAGUCCGGAAGAGGCGAGUGGAAUUCCCGGUGUAGCGGUGAAAUGCGCAGAUAUCGGGAGGAACACCAAUGGCGAAGGCAGCUCGCUGGGACGGUACUGACGCUGAGACGCGAAAGCGUGGGGAGCAAACAGG